This is a long non-coding RNA of Pteropus alecto (black flying fox), 3402 nucleotides long. RefSeq lists it as uncharacterized. NCBI's taxonomy places the organism in Eukaryota, Metazoa, Chordata, Mammalia, Chiroptera, Pteropodidae. The transcript is spliced from 2 exons. The record is from RefSeq and is a predicted model, not a curated record.
GACAAGGUCCGCCCCAGCGGUCCGCCUUUGCCCCCAGGCGAGGGUUGGUCUUCUGAAGGCAGGGCCCAGUCCAUCCCGUGCGAGAGUCUUAACUUGGUCCUAUCCUUGGAGGAAAGGCGUCCCACUGCAUACAGUACAGAGGUCAGGCUAUCCUAGAGAGAAGCCACAUGGAGAGGCCCUGGAGGCUAAGAUCCAAUAGAAAGAGAAUUUGAUGGAGAUGAAUGUAUCGUCUCAGCCAAUAACACCAAACCCAUUGCCUUCUUGGACCUUCCAGUAUAGCCUAUCUGCCAGCUUAGUGCAGCCUCAUGAGUGACUCUCAACAUGAAGGAGAACUACCCAGACCACAUAGAAUUGUGAAAAAUAAUAAAUCCUUGUUUUAAGCCAGUAAGUUUUGAGGUGACUUGUUAGGCUACAAAAGAUAGUCUUCAACCUGACAAUCUUGACUUUACUGUUAGGAGAACUACACCUGCUCCUCUAGUCAUGAACAGUCUCCUACUUCAGCGUCCACAGGUCACAUAGCAGAAGUUCACACGGGUGAGAGAGUUGAAGGAACUUAAACCCAAAAGGCUUGUCUAACCUACACCUGAAUAGUUGCUAUAAGUAAUUAUGCCUCUGUAAUUUUGCCAUUCAGACAUGAAUUAUUGAGGUAAUUGCUUAGCACUUUGAGCCAUAAAGGGGGAUGGACUGGCAUCCUGGACUUACUGCCACUGGUGACACAUGAAAAGCACUGUAGGAGUAUGCGUCUGGCAGGGCACGUUAUUAUACUGUGCAUUUACUGUGUACUUUGUAUCUUUAAAGCAUUUGGUUUCAGAACAACCCAAGGAGGUACUCAUUUAGCAGAUGAGGAAACUGAGGUCACAGAACUUGCCAAGGUCACACAGCUAAGUGGCAGAGCCAGUAAUCAAAUAUAAGCAAUUUGAUUAUAGAUUGCAUUAAUGGCCUUAAUUGUUCACAUCUCUGUAUCUAUACUUUUUGCCAUGUGACUUUGCAGUUCCUCUCAUUAAAAGUAGAAUCUAUCCUCCCUCACCUGCACCCGGAUUCUGAGUUCUACCAUGUAACUUGCUUUGGCCAAUGUAAUAUUACUUUGGACAUAUACAGACUUGAAAACAACUUGCUCCUCUGCCAUGACCAAGAGAACAUGCCUGGGUUAGCCUGCUGAAGGACAUAUGAAAGCCAGUUUGCUCCAGUCAUUUCAGCAGAAGUCCUCCUAGAUAAGCCCAACCCAAUACAAAUGAGUGAACCCAGCCAAGGUCAAAAAGACCUGCCUAGCCAACCCGCAACUGACUGCAUAUACACAAGUAAGCCCAGCUUAGAUCAGCCAAGGCCUGAUUAGCAGAACUCCAGACUUGUAAAAUAUAACCGUAUACCAGAGUUUUUGUGGUUGUUACAUAGCAUAUUGUAGCAAAAAUAACACACUGGCUCCGGAGCCCAUACUCCUAAUAACUGUAUUGCUUUUCAAACUGUUGUGGUUUAAGUGACUGACAUGUGAGUAGAUAUAUUCAGCAGAGAGAAAUCUGAGAAGAGUUUGAAAGAUACAGGGAUAGUGAAAUAUACUUAAGAAUCAUUUCAAAAGCGUGACAACUGAAAGGGAGUGAAUGAGCUCUCUAAAUAAGACAAUUUAUAUUUACAAAGUUAGAGUGAUAGAGAUUUAUUCAACAUCCAGAAUAAAAGGUAAAAAGACAUAGGCAGAUAUUCAGGAAGAAAAAAUGACAAAAUGCAGCACCAUGUAAGUUGAGGGAGAGAAGUUUCAGGAUAUAAUUGUCACAGAAAGAGUCAUUGAAUUUUCUAACUGGAAAUUUACUUGUGAGUUCUUAGAGAACAUAGGUUUUGGAAUCAAGACACAUCUGGGUUGGAAUUCUGACACUUAAUAGUUGUAUGUACUUGGGCACAUUAAUCUAUUUGUAAACAUGUUUAGGCUAGUGCCUGACAUUUGCUAAGAACUCAACAUUAGUAGUGACUAGUCAUGGUUGUGUGAUUAAAAUCAUUUUGAAUAGCUCAUUUUUUUCCCUAAAGAAAUAGUUUCUUACCUAAUCCCUUCAUGCACGAUCCUUUAAAACAAUAAGUAUAUUCAAACCGAUCACCUUCCUUUAAGAGGAGAGUAGUUUUAAAACACAAGGAAAUUCACUCUGAUAUAAUUAACCACACAUAUUCCAAAGUUAUGAAAACAGUAAUGAUUGCUAAUAAGCCAUAUAAGAGAAAAAACUUGUUUUGAGCAGGGCGGCAAUAGAAGACAGAUUUGAAAAGGGCAAAUAUUGAAGUUGGAAGCAAAGAGUGCAGAACGAUGAAGUUUGUCAAUAAAAAAGUGAAGAAACGUGGUAGAUUGGUCUAGGUAAUAUUCAUUUCACUCAUCUCUAGUAAGGGAGAAUUUAGCACAUCUGAAGGCAGCAAAAGGUGCUAAUGAAGAGGAGAAGUUUCAAAAUGUACUGAGGGAUGUGAGAAGUCAUGAAAAGCACACUGAAUUAAAGGGGGAAGAGAGGAAGUCAGGGAAAGUAAAGGGCUUCUUUAAUCUAGAAAGAAGUUGCCAAAUAUUAAGAAAAACAAAGGAGCUUAAACUUCCUCAGUCUUAGCAAAAGAAAGGUAAGGUUAUCUACUGCAGCCAGGUGAAAAACAAGGUUUGGAAGAGCUGGAGUGAUGGUACACUAUCCUAAGGAAUUGAUAUAUUUUGUAUGUUAUAUGUAUUAUAUACUGUAUUCUUACAAUAAAGCUAGAGAAAAGUUAAGAAAACCAUAAGGAAAAUACAUUUACAGUAUCUAUUGAAAAAAGUAUAAGUAGACCCACACAGUUAAAAUCCAUGUUGCCUACCGGUCAACUACAUAAGCAAACUGACCCCAGAGUCUAAAAACUAAUCACCUUUAUGUUAUAAAUCAAUGUACUUUUAAUACGUGUGGAUUCUCACUAUCCUUUGACUGCAAUUUUUCUAUUUCUCAGCUUAAGGAUUUCCAAGAAAAUCCUCCUCAGAGAAAUCAUGUCUUUUAUUCUACACUUGUGAACACAUAUGGCCAACCUUUGGCUGAGAGUCUGUGAGACUGCUACCACUUUACUUACUAUAUUGUUAUGUACUUUGAUGAUUAAAAUGUAAAAUUAUAUAUAUAAGUUCUUAGAGACCAGUAUUGUUAAUAUUGUAUAUCCCAAUGACAAAUGCUAUUAAUGAAAAUGACUAAUACUAUAGUCUGUUUCAAAAGAAUUCACUGGGAGAUAACAUGGUGAAUAAGAGCAUUAAUAUAAAAUUACAUUGACUGGAGUUGGAAUCCCAUAUAUGCCACUUAUUUGCUGUAUGGCUUAGGGCAAGCCACUCUACCUAAAUCACAGGGUGUAAUGACGGCUAAAUGUAAUUAAGCAGUUUAGUAGCAUGGCUGAAGUAUCAUAAAUAUUCAAUAAAUGUCAAGCACUAUUAAAAACAAA